UCGGGUGAGGCAAGCGUUGUUCGGAAUCACUGGGCUUAAAGCGCGUGUAGGCGGCUCGGUAAGUACCUUGUGAAAUCCCUUCUCUCAAUGAAGGAACCGCUUGGUAUACUGCGGGGCUAGAGUGCAGAAGGGGCAACUGGAAUUCUCGGUGUAGCGGUGAAAUGCGUAGAUAUCGAGAGGAACACCUGCGGCGAAGGCGGGUUGCUGGGCUGACACUGACGCUGAGGCGCGAAAGCUAGGGGAGCGAACGGGA
Molecule: ribosomal RNA, 253 nt
Filed under: uncultured prokaryote
Description: partial 16S ribosomal RNA
Rfam family: Bacterial small subunit ribosomal RNA
Source: RNAcentral